RNAcentral lists this ribosomal RNA (254 nucleotides) under uncultured bacterium. RNAcentral describes it as "partial 16S ribosomal RNA". It matches the Rfam family "Bacterial small subunit ribosomal RNA", at positions 524 to 777 of the family's 1533-position model. The record is from RNAcentral.
UACAGAGGGUGCGAGCGUUAAUCGGAUUUACUGGGCGUAAAGGGCGCGAAGGCGGUGAGAUGAGUGUGAUGUGAAAGCCCCGAGCUCAACUUGGGAAGUGCAUCGCAAACGAUCUGACUGGAGUAUAUGAGAGGGUGGCGGAAUUUCCGGUGUAGCGGUGAAAUGCGUAGAGAUCGGAAGGAACGUCAAUGGCGAAGGCAGCCACCUGGCAUAAUACUGACGCUGAGGCGCGAAAGCGUGGGGAGCGAACGAGG